GCCUGNUCCGCAUCNCCGCGUGAGGGAUGACGGCCUUCGGGUUGUAAACCUCUUUCACCAUUGACGAAGUUGCAUCUUUUUGGGUGUGGUGACGGUAGGUGGGGAAGAAGCACCGGCCAACUACGUGCCAGCAGCCGCGGUAAUACGUAGGGUGCGAGCGUUGUCCGGAAUUAUUGGGCGUAAAGGGCUCGUAGGCGGUUUGUCGCGUCGGGAGUGAAAACCUCGGGCUUAACCCGGGGUCUGCUUUCGAUACGGGCAGACUAGAGGUAUGCAGGGGAGAACGGAAUUCCUGGUGUAGCGGUGAAAUGCGCAGAUAUCAGGAGGAACACCGGUGGCGAAGGCGGUUCUCUGGGCAUGAUCUGACGCUGAGGAGCGAAAGUGUGGGGAGCGAACAGGAUUAGAUACCCUGGUAGUCCACACCGUAAACGUUGGGCGCUAGGUGUGGGAUCCAUUCCACGGGUUCCGUGCCGCAGCUAACGCAUUAAGCGCCCCGCCUGGGGAGUACGGCCGCAAGGCUAAAACUCAAAGAAAUUGACGGA
Molecule: ribosomal RNA, 539 nt
Filed under: uncultured bacterium
Lineage: Bacteria
Description: bacterial SSU rRNA
Rfam family: Bacterial small subunit ribosomal RNA
Source: RNAcentral